This is a long non-coding RNA of Anguilla rostrata (American eel), 858 nucleotides long. RefSeq lists it as uncharacterized. The record is from RefSeq and is a predicted model, not a curated record. Lineage: Eukaryota; Metazoa; Chordata; Actinopteri; Anguilliformes; Anguillidae. The transcript is spliced from 3 exons.
AUACACAUUCUGGAGCAGAAGGUGGCGGUAAUUCACCAAUAAGCUGUGUACCACCCUCUGUUAAACAAGAAGAAGACGGUAUAUCCAAUCACAUGCGCAUGUUGCUGUGACGUGCUCUUGGAAGAAGAUCGUUGUGAUUUCAAAUUCUCGGUGGGAAAAUCUGGGUUUGACGGCGUUCAAGAGCAGAGUUCUCUACAUUUGGCCCAACAGCUCAAAUGGAAACUAGAGCACAAUAUCAGAAUGAAGCUCCCACACAUGGCCUUAUGACUGUUGCCCCAGUGAAGAACCCGAGGUCCAGCCUUCCCCACUCAAGACAUGCCGGAGACAAGAGUGACUGUAUUACAAAUUGAUCCAAGGUGAUCCUAACUUAAAUGUAGUUCACCGCUUGAAAAAGACAAAAAUACUCAACACUAUUAAUGUUGAAAUCAUUGGUCUAUGGUGAUUACUGUCCUGAAACUACCCUUCGCCCUUUUUUAUGUUUUUGUAUCUAGUUUUAUAUGUUUGUCUCAUCUUCUGUACCAUAAUUAUGCUUGCACAUAUUGCCUACCUAGAAAUGUAAGUUGAACCUGAUCUUAAUGGUAUUCUAUACAAUGACAAUAAAGGCUUUCUAUUCUAUUUGGGCUUGAUAUGUGUACAUUUUUUAUUGCUGCACUUAAAGUAUCUUAAAUUUUGAAUAUAUGAAUUACAGAAGCAAUGGCAUUUCAUUGGUAGGAUAGAAUGUAGAUCAAAAUUACGACACCAUGAUAUACCUUUUUUUAACACACAAAAUCAAAAUGUAUGGUCAGGGUUUAGUAAGUAAGUGACCAAUCCGCAACGUUGUGGAAAGGUAAAUAACGUAAUAAAGAAGUUUAAACAACG